This 603-nucleotide small RNA is filed under the name Pongo abelii (Sumatran orangutan). Its description in RNAcentral is "processed transcript". The record is from RNAcentral. Lineage: Eukaryota; Metazoa; Chordata; Mammalia; Primates; Hominidae.
GCCCCGGAAUAAUCCUGAAAAUGGGAACGCUGCCUCCAGGAGACCGCGCAGCCUGGAGAAGUCGCCAGGGACAGGAUCAGGACUUGAUCCUCGCGGGUCGACAUGGUCUCAUUCCUCUAGCGUUUGGGUGAUGACCUACUGCCCGCCUGCUGCCUGUUAUUGAAAUAUUAGGAAGCUGUGGUUUUCAAAGCUAAUUAUGAAAACAUUUAUCAUUGGAAUCAGUGGGUGAGUAAUUUUGCUACAAACAGCUUUUUAAGAUACUGAGGAUGUCCAAAUGGUGUUUCCGUGUGGAUGGAGUGGGGGAUGGAGAAGCAGUGAGGAUUCCAGAGUCCUGGGGAAGAGCAGACCACUGUGGAAUAUCAGUGGAGCACUGGCUUCAUAAAUGCCAACAAGAGAUGGAAGAGUUUUCUAUAAACAGAGAAAGAGAAGAGUCAGUCAACCACAUUUACCCACUUUCCCAUUUAUUUUGUAGAGCUAACACCAGAGACAAGGUCUGAUUGGGCACUGCUUUCAUUCAGGAUGAUUUAUCAUUCCCCAUAUCAUUCUCCGUCAUCAUGACGGAGGAGAAAACUUAGUUUCUUUCCAGCUGUGCCCAGCUUCAGA